RNAcentral lists this small nucleolar RNA (73 nucleotides) under Vicugna pacos (alpaca). RNAcentral describes it as "Small nucleolar RNA SNORD112 (ENSVPAG00000017480.1)". Lineage: Eukaryota; Metazoa; Chordata; Mammalia; Artiodactyla; Camelidae. The record is from RNAcentral.
UGGCUCAAUAAUGAGAUUACUUCAUGAACCCAGGAUUAUGAUUUAAUCUAAUUCUAUGUAACUAGAGUCCAUC